CAUAUGCCAAAGGAUGGCUUAUCAUGGUGGGAGCGAGUAGAACGUCGCCGGUGCCAGGAAACAGGAUUAGGCGAAGGCAUGCACGCCGGCGAAUCUUACCCAGCUUCGGGGCUCUCCGGGGAGAUAACACCCCUACUGCUGCUCUGCGGGGUCUCCGCAUGAUCACUAAGGCAUAGUGACUACAAGGUUGCUCCUAGAGCUGUAUUCUGGAGGUAGAAGGAGACAAGGCUAGCCCUCUUCUUCCUAUAUCAUCGGGUCUGAGGCUAAUGGAUGCAAACCCUUUGCAUGGGUGCCCCGGGGGGUUUAUAUAGGCCUAUCCCCCGGGGAUACAAUGGUAAUCCGGCUGGGCGCGGGUCCCAGCCGUCUGUCUCACAUGCCGCCGUCUUCUCCGCCGACUGAUGGGGCCCGCCGACUCGCGGGCCCCGCCGGCGAGUCCGGCACUGUAGCCGUGCCUCUGAUGACGCAGGCUUGAUCAUUGGGUCGUGGCAACAGUGCCGCCAUCUAUCGGGCGAUCACUGUCGUUACUCCCCAUCUUGUCUGGUUAAUGGCGCGUGGGACCCGUGAGAGGGGCUGGCCGACUUCGGGGAGCCGACUCCCACGGGGCCGCCUUCUGGGCGUAUCCGCCGUCUUCUAGCUCUCACUGACUGGCGGGUCCGCCGUCUUUGAGCCGUAUAGGUAGGCCAUCGUGGCCACAGUACGCCACGCACUGUGGCCGAGGUCAGGUCUGGCAUGGCUACAGUGUCGGGCCACGCCGGAGAUCUCCGGCGGUACGGCACACUGUAGCCACGCCGGCUCCUCGCAAGCAGGAGGUGACGGCCACGCCGUGGUCGUACCCGCAAUGAGUGUGGAGUCGUGGGCCGACUCUCCAUAGCCGGUUCCUUUGGAAGUCGCCGGCCAUGAGUCGGCCCAUCUGGGAGUCGUCAUCUGAGACUCGGUUCAUCUGGGAGUCGUCAUCUGAGACUCGGUUCAUCUGGGAGUCGUCAUCUGAGACUCGGCUCAUCUGGGAGUCGUCAUCAGAGACUCGGUUCAUCUGGGAGUCGUCAUCUGAGACUCGGCUUUGAGGGGCGCGGCCUGUCCCGAUGUCCUGAAAGGUUCUGGGGCUAGGGCCAGCCUACCCGUGGCCCAUUACUCCGACAUAUAGCUUAGAGGUUUGAUGAUAGUGUAGGCAUGCAUGCCACAUACAUAUUCAUCAGGAUUCAGGACUGAGACAUCUGUGUGUGUUUCAGCAGACAGUCUCUAUGAUGCGAUGUUUCUUCAUGCUAGUAGCAUAGUGCUCCGAAAUUUUUGUUCCUCAUUGUUCGGUGAAAAUUGUGGUUAUCCUCUGUUACUUCUUGUAGGUAGUUGUAGCUUUCAUGUGAUGGGAAUCAACUAGACAAGAUACUCGCUUGUCCGAACAUUUGAUUAAGUAAUGUAUCUUGUGAUCAUUUUAUGGAUGUUUGCUGGUAUGGUGCAUGAAAAAAUGACAUGUAUGAAGCCAAUGCUUUGGAUAGAUGCACUUUAGAUGCUCUACUGUUGUUCUUCAUUUUGUUUCAAAAUGGACUUGUUCUUACUGCCACUGUCCAAGUGCAAGCAGCGACCCACAGAGUAGUACAACAUUCGAAGAACUUCUUGAGAAGCUCAUGGAACUGAUAAGCCACUAACUUCUGUAGUGUUGAAUGAUUAAAUCGCUACCUUUAACUUGAAAUAAAAAUGGAGUACUUCUUUUGACCUUGAUACCCUUUUCUCUUGUUUUUUCAGGAUGAGAUACAACAAGAAAUCUUAGAAGGUUUGGUAGUUGAUGUCGUGGAUGAACAAGAGACAGAUGAAGCUUGGCGACGUAAUUAGAUGUGAUUGCUAGUUGUAUGUGUUGGCUGUCAUGUGGUGUGAGAUAGUACAUUUGCACUUGUGUAUGUUGUAUGAAAAAGCUUGAAACAUGUCGAUGUUACGUAUCUGUUGGAAACAAAUCAUAUAGUGGAUUUUGAAUGUGUGA
Molecule: long non-coding RNA, 1969 nt
Organism: Triticum aestivum (bread wheat)
Lineage: Eukaryota; Viridiplantae; Streptophyta; Magnoliopsida; Poales; Poaceae
Exons: 2
Source: RefSeq, a predicted model, not a curated record